Long non-coding RNA from Poeciliopsis prolifica (blackstripe livebearer), 833 nucleotides. RefSeq lists it as uncharacterized. The record is from RefSeq and is a predicted model, not a curated record. The transcript is spliced from 3 exons. NCBI's taxonomy places the organism in Eukaryota, Metazoa, Chordata, Actinopteri, Cyprinodontiformes, Poeciliidae.
GCAUGUGUCCAGUGGUUAUAUUCAUGAGGCAUUCAAGGGUCUUGUACUAAAAGAUACAACUCAGUUCAGUAUGAAUUGCAUAUUUUAAUGGCUGAAAAUAUAUCUGAUCUCUUUCAGAACAUCACCUGUCUGUAAUCCACCUGCGUAAGUUCUGGUCAAGGGGCUCAUCGGCUAUCAAGUUAUAGAUUUCAGUGGCUAAUAGAAGACACUGCUGAGGUCAGAUGAGAGUGCAUCCUCAAAGGUCUGUGUGUACCUAAAUGAAGAUCCAGAGAAGCUGGUGAGGGAGUACAUGGACGUUGAUGAAUGUGCAGAAAUGGCCAAAGCCGAGACUGUCCUCGGAAUCGUCAUUUGAGCAGAGGGUGCAGAGGCUGCCGAUGCACAUCUGGAUGUUGGGAUUGUCUUGGAGGAGGUGGAAGUUAUGAACAGCUUGGGCAGUGUAUCUUCUGCAAUAGUGAUGCUGCUGGAACUAAUCUACGCACUAAACUUGAGCUACCCUCAAGUUUAGUGCGUUCAGCACUCAACUUGCUCAGUAACUCAAGCAUACCUUUGAAGUAAUACAGAAAAUAAUAAUGAAAUUGGAUGGAAAGAACUUAUCAAAGAAAGCACAAGUUCUCAAUAUGAAACUCGCCGCUAAGUUGAGUAAAGUUUCAUAUGGAAAAUGAGUGUUUAAAGUCUGCAGUAGAAAAGAUUUAUUUGUUACAGUUCUCUAAGUUGAGCAACUAUAAUGACAUGUUUUAUGUUGUAAAGAAUUGGCUGGGAAAUGAAACUGUAACCUUUUUGUAGUUGUUUUUUUUAUUUCAAUGUCCAACUCAGCUGUUUUGUGCUGUGUAAAA